CGCUAUCUAUCCUGAGCUCC
This 20-nucleotide microRNA is filed under the name Oryza sativa (Asian cultivated rice). RNAcentral's name for it is "osa-miR390-3p". Its record names the gene osa-miR390-3p. The record is from miRBase by way of RNAcentral. Lineage: Eukaryota; Viridiplantae; Streptophyta; Magnoliopsida; Poales; Poaceae. RNAcentral also lists the same sequence under 2 other names.